RNAcentral lists this ribosomal RNA (408 nucleotides) under uncultured bacterium. RNAcentral describes it as "partial 16S ribosomal RNA". It matches the Rfam family "Bacterial small subunit ribosomal RNA", at positions 28 to 526 of the family's 1533-position model. The record is from RNAcentral.
GACGAACGCUGGCGGCGUGCUUAACACAUGCAAGUCGAACGAAGUGGCGAACGGGUGAGUAACGCGUAAUCAACCUGCCCUUCAGAGGGGGACAACAGUUGGAAACGACUGCUAAUCCCGCAUACUGAAGGAGUGGAUGGCGGCUGAUUAGCUAGUUGGAGGGGUAACGGCCCACCAAGGCGAGGAGCAGUAGCCGGGCUGGGAGGAUGGACGGCCACAUUGGGCCUGAGACACGGCCCAGACUCCUCCGGGAGGCAGCAGUGGGGAAUCUGCCGCAAUGGAGGAAAGUCUGACGGAGCAACGCCGCGUGAGUGAUGACGGCCUUCGGGUUGUAAAGCUCUGUUAAUCGGGACGCGGUACCGGAAUAGAAAGCCACGGCUAACUACGUGCCAGCAGCCGCGGUAAUUC